Molecule: ribosomal RNA, 1292 nt
Filed under: Melanotrichia acclivopennis
Lineage: Eukaryota; Metazoa; Arthropoda; Insecta; Trichoptera; Xiphocentronidae
Description: 16S ribosomal RNA
Source: RNAcentral
UAAAAAUAUAAUUAUUUAAUUGAUUAUUUAUUUAUUUAAUGAAAUUAAAAUAUUAUUAAUUUUGGAAGUUUUAGUAUAUUUCAAAAAAAAUUUAAUUAUUUAUAGUUUAUUAUUAUUGUAAAAUAAAUUUUUAUUUUGUAUAAAAUAAAAAUUUAUUUUUUGUAUUUUGUGUAUCAAAGUUUAUUAAAUAAAUUUAUUAUUUAAUUAAUAUUCUUGAAAUAAAUUGAGUUAAUUUUAUUUUAAAAUUAUUGUUUAAUAAAUAUUUUUAAAAUAUUUUUGGAAAUGAAAAAUUAUUCGUAUUUUAUUAUAUCUAGUUUUUUAAUAAAUAAAUUGAAAUUAUAUAUUUAUUUAUAAAUAAUUUAAUUAUUUGAAUUAUUUAAAUAUAAUAUAUUAUAUUUAAGGGGAUAAGCUUUUAAAUAAAUUUUUAUAUAAAAAUUUAUUAUUUAAAUGUAAUAUAAAUUAAAUUUUUAUUUUAAUUUAGUUUUUAAUAAAUUAUUUUAGUUUUAUUUUAAUUUUUAUUAUUAUUAAAUUAAUUUAUUAAAAAAAUUAAAAUAAUUUAAUUUUUAAUGUUAUAAUGAUAAAAUUAGUAUAAAUUUAAUUAAUUAAUAAUUGAUAUGUUUAAAAAUUAUAAUUAUGAAUUAGACAAAAUUAAUUAAAUUAUUUUCAAAUGUUUAAUAAAAACAUUUUUUAUUGUUUUUUAUAAUAAAUAUAAUCUGCCCACUGAUAAUUUAUUGAAGGGCUGCAGUAUUUUGACUGUACAAAGGUAGCAUAAUUAAUAGUUUUUUAAUUGAAAACUGGAAUGAAUGAUUGAAUGAAAAAUUUUUUUUAUUAUUAUUAUUAUUUAUAAUUUUAUUUUUUAGUAAAAAAGCUAAAUUGAAAAUAUUAGACAAGAAGACCCUAUAAAUCUUAAAUAAAUUUUUUUAUAAUUAAUUAAUAUAAAUUUAUUGGGUUGGGGUGAUUUAAAAAUUUAAUAAACUUUUUAUUUAUUAAAACAUUGAUUUAUGAUAAUAAGAUUUAAUUUUGUUAAUUAUUAGAAUAAGUUACUUUAGGGAUAACAGCAUAAUUUUAAUUUAGAGUUCUUAUUUAAAUUAAAGAUUGUGACCUCGAUGUUGGAUUAAAAUUAAUUUAAAUGCAAAAGUUUAAAUGUUUAGUCUGUUCGACUAUUAAAAUUUUACAUGAUCUGAGUUUAAACCGGUGUGAGCCAGGUUGGUUUCUAUCUAUAUUUAUUAAGGUAAAAUUAGUACGAAAGGAUUGUUUUGAAUUAAUUAUUUAAUUUAAUUUGAAUAAAAUUA